Molecule: non-coding RNA, 1079 nt
Organism: Myodes glareolus (Bank vole)
Lineage: Eukaryota; Metazoa; Chordata; Mammalia; Rodentia; Cricetidae
Source: RefSeq, a predicted model, not a curated record
AUGUGGAGGUCAGAGGACAGGCUAUAGAAACUGGAUCUCUCCUCUUCAGAUUCCUGCUGAAGGUCCAAACCCUCGCCCCCCUCAUCCCCUACCCCCGACCCUUAGCAGACAUAACAGGCUUCAAAAGACCCAGCAAGAUGCAGACCCCUGACUCCGGAGGCUGUACUGAGCCCUACCUUGUUCUAGUUACGGGGAAGAAGCUGCCAGAUAAUUUAUGGUAAAGAACCAAUCAGAAGUUAGCUGGCACGCUCUGGCCAUGAUUUUACUGAUAACGGUGGAAUGAAGUAACUGCUCCCACUGUAUGGCCUCCAGGUAUAGCAACCUUUCUGCAGCUGACAGUUUCCAUAAAUACCCCCACCCCACUGCAGCCAGGGUCUCUCCUGUUCCACUGAUGCAUUGGACAGACUAGAGGCCUGGGUUCAAAGGUCAUAAUUAAAAAAUAAUCUUUGCUUUGCUUUUGCAUCGGAUCUGUUAUGUCCGAAAUUCAGAAUCGGAAUCACUACUACCAGACCAACUCCAAUGCAAGAACCAAGAGUCUUUAUUCAAGUUGGCUCCUAGCAAGCACUCUGUUUCCUCCGAGAAGACAUAAGACAAACCAUCACUGACCACCGUCCAUCUGCAGUUUGCUUCGACUGCCAAGCGCUGACCAUUGGGCAAAAAACUGCCUUUCACCUAAACUGGAGACCUCCAAAUGUGGACAAAAUCACUGGAAUCGACAGUCUAGCUGCCCAGGGUCAAGGUACAAGAAACACCAUACAUUUCCAUGCCACAGACACCUGACUUGUCGGGAGCAGAGACCAACUAUGCCAAGAUGUGACCAGCACACAGCCUUCUCUCGGAUCCCCCACAACCCCCCCCAAAGACGACACCCACAAAUCAGCCGGAAGCAGCUUGAGAAUUCACCGCCCCAAUUCCUUCAACCUGUAAUGUCUAACCUUCUACUUUUUAUUAUAAAAAGGAUCCGGGAAGGUUAGUCUUUAAGAACUAACUACGCCCACCCCAGCCACUUCUGACCCCACCUCCCCUCGCUGCCAUCUUCUCUCUCGUGUGUGUGUGUGUGUGUGUGUGUGUGUGCGUGU